CCUACGGGUGGCAGCAGUGAGGAAUAUUGGUCAAUGGACGAGAGUCUGAACCAGCCAAGUGGCGUGAAGGAUGACUGCCCUAUGGGUUGUAAACUUCUUUUAUAUGGGAAUAAAAUGUUCCACGUGUGGGAUUUUGUAUGUACCAUAUGAAUAAGGAUCGGCUAACUCCGUGCCAGCAGCCGCGGUAAUACGGAGGAUCCGAGCGUUAUCCGGAUUUAUUGGGUUUAAAGGGAGCGUAGGUGGAUUGUUAAGUCAGUUGUGAAAGUUUGCGGCUCAACCGUAAAAUUGCAGUUGAAACUGGCAGUCUUGAGUACAGUAGAGGUGGGCGGAAUUCGUGGUGUAGCGGUGAAAUGCUUGGAUAUCACGAAGAACUCCGAUUGCGAAGGCAGUUCACUGGACUGCAACUGACACUGAGGCUCGAAAGUGUGGGUAUCAAACAGGAUUAGAUACCCCAGUAGUC
This 460-nucleotide ribosomal RNA is filed under the name uncultured bacterium. RNAcentral's name for it is "partial 16S ribosomal RNA". It matches the Rfam family "Bacterial small subunit ribosomal RNA", at positions 338 to 795 of the family's 1533-position model. The record is from RNAcentral.